GACGAACGCUGGCGGCGUGCUUAACACAUGCAAGUCGAACGGAAAGGCCCUGCUUUUGUGGGGUGCUCGAGUGGCGAACGGGUGAGUAACACGUGAGUAACCUGCCCUUGACUUUGGGAUAACUUCAGGAAACUGGGGCUAAUACCGGAUAGGAGCUCCUGCUGCAUGGUGGGGGUUGGAAAGUUUCGGCGGUUGGGGAUGGACUCGCGGCUUAUCAGCUUGUUGGUGGGGUAGUGGCUUACCAAGGCUUUGACGGGUAGCCGGCCUGAGAGGGUGACCGGCCACAUUGGGACUGAGAUACGGCCCAGACCCCUACGGGAGGCAGCAGUGGGGAAUAUUGCACAAUGGGCGGAAGCCUGAUGCAGCAACGCCGCGUGCGGGAUGACGGCCUUCGGGUUGUAAACCGCUUUCGCCUGUGACGAAGCGUGAGUGACGGUAAUGGGUGAAGAAGCACCGGCUAACUACGUG
RNAcentral lists this ribosomal RNA (468 nucleotides) under uncultured bacterium. Its description in RNAcentral is "partial 16S ribosomal RNA". It matches the Rfam family "Bacterial small subunit ribosomal RNA", at positions 28 to 507 of the family's 1533-position model. The record is from RNAcentral.